GACGAACCGUCCAAACGUUAUUCGGAAUCACUGGGCUUAAAGGGUGCGUAGGCGGCGCGGAAAGUUGGGUGUGAAAGCCCUCGGCUCAACCGAGGAAUUGCGCUCUAAACUGUCGUACUCGAGGAAGCUAGAGGUGAGCAGAACAGAUGGUGGAGCGGUGAAAUGCGUUGAUAUCAUCUGGAAUACCGGAGGCGAAGGCGGCUCACUGGGGCUUUUCUGACGCUGAGGAACGAAAGCCAGGGUAGCGAACGGG
This 253-nucleotide ribosomal RNA is filed under the name uncultured bacterium. RNAcentral describes it as "partial 16S ribosomal RNA". It matches the Rfam family "Bacterial small subunit ribosomal RNA", at positions 524 to 776 of the family's 1533-position model. The record is from RNAcentral.